GAUUGAUGCUCACAGAAUUUUUAUUGAUUUUUUGCCAAACAUAUUCAGCCAUGAUUUGACAGAGUUGCAUCUUACUCUGCUCUUUCCCCAACAAGUAACCUUAAAUCCAGUAAGUGAACAGCUGGUAAACCAUUUCUCACCUUCCUGUUAAUUAUUUUUAUUAAACUGAAGACUCUUUUUGGCUUUGGCAGCAUGUAUUUCUGAACUUGUUAAUGACAUGAACAACUUCUUUGCUGAAUCACAGAAUAAUUUCCAAAUGCGAGAAAAAUAUUUCCUCCACUUUUUGUGUUAUUCACAAUGGAAUGGCUACAGGUACAAUGCACUGUUAAGUUUAAUCUGUAUUACUAACAUCACUGUGAAGAAUAAUCAACAGAACCAUAAGUCAAGCCUUGAUUUACAGCAUUUGCCAAUUGCAAUGGUGUAAAUAUUCACACCGUGGCCCAUUUCCAGCUAUCAACCUGACGGUGUCGAGCUCAGAGUCAGGAAGAGACACGCACGAGCAAACCAUCACGUGGUGGCCUCCCUCCACACAGACACAGUGGACAUACAUAACAUCCAAAUUAUAGAAAAUAGUGAUAUGGGCCAGGCACGGUGGCUCAUGCCUAUAAUCCCAACACUUCGGGAGGCCAGGGCAGGCAGAUCACUUGAGGUCAGGAGUUUAAGACCAGCCUGACCAACAUGGUGAAACCCCGUCUCUGCUAAAAAUACAGAAAAAUUAGCCGGGCAUGGUGGUGCACGCCUGUAAUCCCAGCUAUUCAGGAAGCUGAGGUAGGAGAAUCGUUUGAACUCAGGAGGUGGAGGUUGCAGUGAGCCGAGAUCAUGCCAUUGCACUCCAGCCUGGGAAACAGAGACUCCAUCUCAAAAAAAAAAAAAAAAAAAAAAAAGUGGUAUGAUUAGGAAGUCAUGAAUUUAGAGUACUUAUUACCUUUGUCUUAUUAUUUGAUUGUACAUUUGCCUAAUUUUAAAAUGAUGGCUGUGAUUAACACCUGGCUUGUAAAAUUCCUGAAAUUGUACCCAUCAGUCUGGCCAGCCUGGACAAGCCAGCUCUAGCAGUCAGAGAAGACAGGGCCCGGCCUAUGCUGAGUGACUGGAUGCCUUGGAGUUAGUGAUUCCGGAAGGAAAAGGCAGGCCAGUGCAGAGCCAGCAGCCAGGGCUAAGCCAAAGGGCAAAAUGUUCCCGGCUUGAACAGGGUGACCACACAGCCUACCCACAGACUGGCCAGGGCAGUCCUGGUUAUGCUUGGUGUCCCCCAGCCCCUUUUAGUUUCAAAAGCAUCUGUUUAGGAUGGACAUUACAUACUUUCCCUGUGACACUUGCAGAGCUAUGGCCCUCUGGGUCCCUAGAACUGGCUGAAGAGGGAGUGGGCCGGGCUGGUGAGCAGAGGCCAGGUUGGGAGGGCAGGGGUGAGUGCAGAUGGAGGAGGCCAGGCUGGGAGGGCAGGGGUGAGUGCAGAUGGAAGAGGCCGAGCUGGGAGGGGAUGGGUGGGUGGAGAUGGAAGAGGCCGAGCUGAGAGGGGAUGGGUGGGUGGAGAUGGAAGAGGGGAUGGGUGGGUGGAGAUGGAAGAGGCCGAGCUGAGAGGGGAUGGGUGGGUGGAGAUGGAAGAGGCCGAGCUGAGAGGGGAUGGGUGGGUGCAGAUGGACGAGGCCGAGCUGAAGGCAGGGGUGGGUGGAGAUGGAGGAAGCCAAGGGAAGGAAAAGGUGGUGACAAGAGUGGCAGGCACUUUCUGGGAAGCUGGAAUAAGGGAAGGCACUGGGAGCCAUCCGCUGGUGCCAGGGAGAGUUCCAUUACAAGGAGCAGCUGAACUCAGCUGUCUCCAGAGCCAGGGGCUAGGUGGGCAGCUUCUCCAGAGGAACAAGGGUGCCCCCCGUCCCUGAUCAACUAGGGUGUCUGUCAUUCAUUGUUGGCCUUACAAAGCUGGUGAGGGAACAAGAAAAAAAAUGCACACGAAGUUCAAGUGCUUCACACCUAGCUUUCCAACACAUAGGAGGAGACGGCAGGAGGGGUCAGAAUCCCCGAACUGUGGGAGGCCUGGGACUCCUAGGUCUCAGCUGGAGCCCCCCAGAUAAAAGCCCCCUCGGAGACUGGCAGGGGCGGGGUGGGGUUGUUCCAGCAGCCAGUUCCCAUCACUCUCCCACUCAGCCAGCAGCCUCCUGAAGGCCCAAAUCCCGAAUCUUUCCUGGCCUUCUUUUCCCCCCAGUGGGGACAGGGCAUAGCUGGCCCGUCUCCUGGAGGACAGAGCCAGGAGCAGGCCAGCAGGCCCUUCACUUCCUCUGCUGCCAACGUGCGAACACACCCGUGUGUGGUGUCCAAAGCCAAGCCACUCUCUGGCAAACCAGCCAAAGACAGAAGAUCCCCAAACCCAAAUGUUCUGAAAUCUUUUCCAGGCUUUCAAACCUUGGCUAAACAAGGCAAAGGAGCUAGGGAACAGUCUUUGGCCUUGAAAGAUGAGAAGGUCGAGGGCUCUCCAGGACACAGGGCAGAUGCCUUUGAUGGCAGCAUUUUAUAAAGAGAGAAACAGAACACAGCUAAGUGCUGCUCUGAAGACCCUCUCUUUGAAUAUCAGUAUUAGGUUAUUUCAUCUCCACAUGGAGCCUGUGGAGUAGGUUCUACUGCAGGAAACUGAGGCACGGAGCAGGUAGAUACCAUCCAGAUCCCAUAGCUGAUGAAUGUCAGAGCUGCGACAUGGACCCAGGCUGCCUCGCUCUCAGCUGCGACGCUGAGCCGACCCCUGCACAGGGGCCUUGUUCUCGGUCCUUUCCUGCCACUGUGGGAACUGGGAGCCUGGGAGUUACAUCGUAUGUGACAUCAGAGCCAGAGCUGGCACAGGGUCACAGGGCACAGGGUCACAGGGCCUGCAGCUUAGAUGCUUUGAGGGACACUUCUUAAGGUCAAGACUAUAAAACUGUGACUGUGAAGAGCUCAGGCUUCAAAGCAGCCCAGGCCAGCCAGGGAGGCUGAGCUGGAGGCUUCUCUAGCCUCGUGGGAGAUGGGCCCUGCCCCAGGGGACCUCCCCGAUGAUCUAUGCCAGGGCUUCCCGGAGCCCCUUCUCCUCCAGGCAAGAGAAGCCAUGUCCCGAAAGCCCCGCAGGAGGGGUCUGAGGGGAAAUCCAGAAGCAGCCCAGCCUCUCGUCACGCACCACUGAGGCCGACACCCGGGUGGGGCCCAGAUGCCGAGUGAUUCAGGGGAGGCCUUGGCAGCCUGCCUGCCCCCAGACACUCGAGUAACCAGGGCAAGAUGUGGAAAACCCCCUGACCAGACCCGAAACCAGUGGGAGCGUUCAAGUUUAACCCACCCAGGGUCGGGAACGUGGCCUGAAGCCAAAGUAGAAGCCCUGGAGGAGAAAAGGGCCCAUUUCUUUCCUGGGCACCGCCAAUGGCUUUUCCUUUUUAAGAGGCACAGACAGGGUCACAGAUGGCCCCAGGCAGAUGCCUUGGUAUGGAGGGACCAGUCCACUGCAGGCCCUAUCUUGGGUUUCGAAGAUUCAAACACCACCAGCACCACCGACUAGAAUGUUCUGUGCCAUGGAAGGCCCUCAUUGGCCACAUCCCUCUUGCUUCCUGAACAACGGCUGGGCAAGGCUGAGGUCUGCGGGGCAGGAUGGCCUCUGCAGAGGAAGGCAUCAGGGCCCAAGUGAGGGAAGCCUGGGUCCUGGGUCCAGAGGCCCGGUGUGGCAUGGCAAAGGCCAGGUGGGGUGAGGAAAGCUACUGGGCAGCAGGGGGCCUGGUGCUGAGUGUCAGAGCCGGGGGCAAUGGGGGGAAGGCAGCGUCCCCAGGGAGGAGGCAGCGCCCCCAGGGAGGAGGCAGCAUGGGAUGAGGCCAGUCACAGACGAAGGGAGGGACCCAGCAUGUCCAGAAGAACAAAUGAGCUCACCAGGGCGCAGCUGCUCACACCUGUCAUCCCAGCACUUUGGAAGGCUGAGACGGGAGGACCGCUUGAACUCAGAAGUUCCAGACCAGUCUGGCCAAAAUGGAGAAACCCUGUCUUC
This 3985-nucleotide long non-coding RNA is filed under the name Homo sapiens (human). Its description in RNAcentral is "HSALNT0159029". The record is from RNAcentral. Lineage: Eukaryota; Metazoa; Chordata; Mammalia; Primates; Hominidae.